GAGGGUAUAGCUCGGUGGUAGAGUGUGUGCUUAGCAUGCACAAGGUCCUGGGUUCAAUCCUCAAUACCUCCA
RNAcentral lists this transfer RNA (72 nucleotides) under Camelus bactrianus (Bactrian camel). It matches the Rfam family "tRNA". From Rfam's summary of the family: Transfer RNA (tRNA) molecules are approximately 80 nucleotides in length. Lineage: Eukaryota; Metazoa; Chordata; Mammalia; Artiodactyla; Camelidae. The record is from Rfam by way of RNAcentral. RNAcentral also lists the same sequence under 2 other names.